Long non-coding RNA from Neofelis nebulosa (Clouded leopard), 903 nucleotides. RefSeq lists it as uncharacterized. The transcript is spliced from 2 exons. Lineage: Eukaryota; Metazoa; Chordata; Mammalia; Carnivora; Felidae. The record is from RefSeq and is a predicted model, not a curated record.
GAGACUCUAGGUAGAAUCUUUCCUUGCUUCUGCCUAGUUUCUGAUGGUAGCCGGCAAUCGUGGGUGCUCCUUGGCUUGCAGCUGUAUCAUUUAUAUCUCUGCUCUGUCCUUCCAUGGUGUCCUCCCUGUGUGUAUGUCUUCAUAUCGUCCCUUUUCUUAUAAGUGCAUGGGUCAUAUUGGGUUAAGGGCCACCUUUCUCUACUAUGACCUCAUCUUAACUAACUGUACCUGCAAUGACCUUAUUUCCAAAUAAGGUCACUUUCUGAGACACAGGGGGUUAGAACCCAACAUAUCUUUCUGGAACACAAAAUUCUAUCCAUGGUAGCUCUCUAGGAAGUUUGAGAGGUUGGACUUAUGAAAGUCAAUGGCAGCUGGCCAUUGUGAGGUCAUCGAAUCAAGCACUUCCUGCUCUGCACCUGCCCUGCAGCAGCCCACUCCCAGACAUCUGCGAACUGUGGUCAUCCAUCCCAGGUUGGAAUGCUUCUCCGUGGUGCACGUACUUCUGCAGGAUCCUAGUUUUGUUGUGGGAGAUAGAGAGGCAACAUGGAGAGAGGAGGUGUCCUCAGAAAUGUGUGCAUGACACAAAUCACCCAACUUGCUGCAGGUUCAGAUUCCUGGGACUCAAGCUCUAGAGAUGCUGUUGGCCAUUCAAUCAUAGGUGUUCAAGUGGCUAUAUUUUGAGAAACACUUACACAGAGAAGAGUCCAGAAACAGAAGCCGACUGACCUUUCCAAGACGGCUUUUGAGCUCUGUGUUUCCCUUCUUCGGCGUGAAGGCCUUAAGCAAGAUGGAGAGGAUGAUUCCACAUUCCGUGAGCUGCCUUGCGUUCCAUUCCUUAAGGAAGUGGCAUGCUGAUGCCAAAGUUACCUUAAUUAUCAGACCAAAUAAACAAGCAAACUGUGA